This 403-nucleotide ribosomal RNA is filed under the name Verrucomicrobiota bacterium. RNAcentral's name for it is "Verrucomicrobia bacterium partial 16S ribosomal RNA". It matches the Rfam family "Bacterial small subunit ribosomal RNA", at positions 355 to 776 of the family's 1533-position model. The record is from RNAcentral. Lineage: Bacteria; Pseudomonadati; Verrucomicrobiota.
UGGGGAAUAUUGCACAAUGGGGGAAACCCUGAUGCCGCGACGCCGCGUGAGCGAAGAAGGCUUUCGAGUCGUAAAGCUCUGUCCUAUGAGAAGAUAAUGACGGUAUCAUAGGAGGAAGCCCUGGCUAAAUACGUGCCAGCAGCCGCGGUAAUACGUAUGGGGCGAGCGUUGUCCGGAAUUAUUGGGCGUAAAGGGUACGUAGGUGGUUUUUUAAGUCAGGUGUCAAAGCGUGGAGCUUAACUCCAUGGAGCACUUGAAACUGAAAGACUUGAGUGAAGGGGAGGAGAGUGGAAUUCCUAGUGUAGCGGUGAAAUGCGUAGAUAUUAGGAGGAAUACCAGUGGCGAAGGAGACUUUCUGGACUUUUACUGACGCUCAGGUACGAAAGCGGGGGGAGCAAACAGG